GGAACGUGUGCAUCCAGGGUGGACUCUGCUUCUUUAGACCUGAUAGCUGCUAUGGUUGGAAGCCUGGCCCCAGUUUCCCUGGCCAGCACAGACAGUCCUGGUCACUGUGACCUAGGUAGCAGUCCGCCCUCCUGCCUGUGGUACUGAGCAUAUUCUUGAAAAAUCUGUGUCCUGUGAUUCUUGGCCACAGUUGUUUGGAGGUACACAGUGGCUGGGAUAUAAGGAAGUUACUCGUUGUCACUUGGUAUUAGGCACCUACUGCAUGCAGAGUUUUGUACCUUGUAUAUACUAUGAAAGGCACAGAGUAAAGGAGUCACUCUUGUCCCUAUUGGGGCCAGGCAGUGGAGUGGUAAAAAUAACAGCCAUUUAUUUAUUUUUUUCUAUGUGUUUACUAUGUUUUAGGCCUGUGCUAAGUACUUUGCACACAUUAUCUCACUUCAUCCUCAGAGUAACCAUGUGCCAGAGUGGUUAUUAGCACUGUUUUAUGGAUGAAGAAACUAAUACCAGAUGGAAUUAAUGAACUUGCCAUGGGUCCUACAGCCAGUGUGAAUCUUCCUGACCCCUCACUCCCCACUGUGCAUCCCAGGGCUGUGUUUCCUUUCAUGCCAUAUGUUCCCAGAAGACAGGACUGAGCAUUUUGAAGUCCUGGGUUCAGUUUAUUAUGAAACUCAACUUAUUAUAGAACUUUACUCUGUUUAUUGGCUGAACAAUCUGGACUGACUCUUCCUGCUUUUCUCAUUUGCUGAUCUGGAAAAUGGGAAUAUUUGUGUAUAUUUCACAAAGCUUCAGUGCGGGAUGAAGUAAGGUAAUUUGUUAUAGAAAGAGCUUCAUAAAUGAGAAGGGGGUCUCCAUACAUGGACUUCAUUUAAACGAGUCAGUAGUAAAACCUUAUUUUACCUGUGCAUUGCCCC
Molecule: long non-coding RNA, 911 nt
Filed under: Marmota monax (woodchuck)
Lineage: Eukaryota; Metazoa; Chordata; Mammalia; Rodentia; Sciuridae
Source: RNAcentral